Molecule: unclassified non-coding RNA, 527 nt
Filed under: Hevea brasiliensis (rubber tree)
Lineage: Eukaryota; Viridiplantae; Streptophyta; Magnoliopsida; Malpighiales; Euphorbiaceae
Source: RNAcentral
UGCAAAUGCUGCUAAGGUAGGUGGGAGCGACCAAGAAGAAUUAGAAUGGGACAGCUACGACAAGAUCAAAAGAGAGAUAGCUCUCGAACGACUUCAGUUGGCUGCAGAAAAGGCCAAGGCAAAAGAAAUCACACGCAUACGAGCUGAGAGAGCAGCACAGAGAAAGACGGAAAGGAUGCAGAGACUUGUUCAAAGGAGAAAAGAACGAGAAGAAAAGCAAAAAGUUGAAGGAAAAACGAAGAGACCAAGAAGACGGUCAAAGCAAGAGAAAGAAGAGUUAGCUGUUGCUGAAGAAUUGAAACUCAAGGCGAAAUUAGUGAAGAUUCAGAAGAAAAAGUCCACACUUAGCCAUGUUUGUAGAGAACAUCGACAAGCUUGGGAGAAACUCGAUGUAGCAUUCAUAAAGAGACCUCAAGUACAAAAAACAGUUUCUCUUGCAGAUCAGAUUCGUGCUGCCAAGAAGAGAACAAUGGAUGUGAAUGAAAAAGCCUUUGGUAUUACAUCCUCCAACUCUCAAUCUAUUGAAG